UUGAUUUCACACUGCCGAGAAAAGCCUCUAGAUAGAAAAUAGGUGCCCGUACCGCAAACCGACACAGGUAGUCAAGAUGAGAAUUCUAAGGUGAGCGAGCGAACUCUCGUUAAGGAACUCGGCAAAAUGACCCCGUAACUUCGGGAGAAGGGGUGCUCUUUAGGGUUAACGCCCAGAAGAGCCGCAGUGAAUAGGCCCAAGCGACUGUUUAUCAAAAACACAGGUCUCUGCUAAACCGUAAGGUGAUGUAUAGGGGCUGACGCCUGCCCGGUGCUGGAAGGUUAAGAGGAGUGGUUAGCUUCUGCGAAGCUACGAAUCGAAGCCCCAGUAAACGGCGGCCGUAACUAUAACGGUCCUAAGGUAGCGAAAUUCCUUGUCGGGUAAGUUCCGACCCGCACGAAAGGCGUAACGAUUUGGGCACUGUCUCAACGAGAGACUCGGUGAAAUCAUAGUACCUGUGAAGAUGCAGGUUACCCGCGACAGGACGGAAAGACCCCGUGGAGCUUUACUGUAGCCUGAUAUUGAAAUUCGGCACAGCUUGUACAGGAUAGGUAGGAGCCUUUGAAACGUGAGCGCUAGCUUACGUGGAGGCGCUGGUGGGAUACUACCCUAGCUGUGUUGGCUUUCUAACCCGCACCACUUAUCGUGGUGGGAGACAGUGUCAGGCGGGCAGUUUGACUGGGGCGGUCGCCUCCUAAAAGGUAACGGAGGCGCUCAAAGGUUCCCUCAGAAUGGUUGGAAAUCAUUCAUAGAGUGUAAAGGCAUAAGGGAGCUUGACUGCGAGACCUACAAGUCGAGCAGGGUCGAAAGACGGACUUAGUGAUCCGGUGGUUCCGCAUGGAAGGGCCAUCGCUCAACGGAUAAAAGCUACCCCGGGGAUAACAGGCUUAUCUCCCCCAAGAGUUCACAUCGACGGGGAGGUUUGGCACCUCGAUGUCGGCUCAUCGCAUCCUGGGGCUGUAGUCGGUCCCAAGGGUUGGGCUGUUCGCCCAUUAAAGCGGUACGCGAGCUGGGUUCAGAACGUCGUGAGACAGUUCGGUCCCUAUCCGUCGUGGGCGUAGGAAAUUUGAGAGGAGCUGUCCUUAGUACGAGAGGACCGGGAUGGACAUACCUCUGGUGUACCAGUUGUCGUGCCAACGGCAUAGCUGGGUAGCUAUGUGUGGACGGGAUAAGUGCUGAAAGCAUCUAAGCAUGAAGCCCCCCUCAAGAUGAGAUUUCCCAACUUCGGUUAUAAGAUCCCUCAAAGAUGAUGAGGUUAAUAGGUUCGAGGUGGAAGCAUGGUGACAUGUGGAGCUGACGAAUACUAAUCGAUCGAAGACUUAAUCAA
This 1327-nucleotide ribosomal RNA is filed under the name Staphylococcus aureus. Its description in RNAcentral is "partial 23S ribosomal RNA". It matches the Rfam family "Bacterial large subunit ribosomal RNA", at positions 1594 to 2925 of the family's 2925-position model. Lineage: Bacteria; Bacillati; Bacillota; Bacilli; Caryophanales; Staphylococcaceae. The record is from RNAcentral.